This 458-nucleotide ribosomal RNA is filed under the name uncultured bacterium. Its description in RNAcentral is "bacterial SSU rRNA". It matches the Rfam family "Bacterial small subunit ribosomal RNA", at positions 60 to 509 of the family's 1533-position model. The record is from RNAcentral.
GGCCGCUGUGAUCCCUUCGGGGUGAACUUGGCGCUGACGAGUGGCGGACGGGUGCGUAACGCGUGGGAAUCUACCUUGUAGUGGGGGAUAGCCCGGAGAAAUCCGGAUUAAUACCGCAUAAUCUCUACGGAGCAAAGUGGGGGCUCUUCGGACCUCACGCUAUUAGAUGAGCCCGCGUUGGAUUAGCUUGUUGGUGGGGUAAUGGCCUACCAAGGCGACGAUCCAUAGCUGGUUUGAGAGGAUGAUCAGCCACACUGGGACUGAGACACGGCCCAGACUCCUACGGGAGGCAGCAGUGGGGAAUAUUGGACAAUGGGCGCAAGCCUGAUCCAGCAAUGCCGCGUGUGUGAAGAAGGCCUGAGGGUUGUAAAGCACUUUCAAUAGGGAUGAAAAGCUCCGGGUUAAUACCCCGGAGUCUUGACUUUACCUAUAGAAGAAGCACCGGCUAACUCCGUGCC